CUGCUUAGCUUACUGGGAUGGAUUGUUAUGGCGCUUGUAGGUGCGUAUGCGCAUGCGCGGGAGCGGCAAAAAUGGCGUCACCCGACCACCCGACGUCUAGUGUCAGAGCUGUUCUCCCGGAUCAGCAAUCGCGCACCCGUCCUUCGUCUUCGGCUUCCAUCCACUCCCCGCUUUUACACAGUCCGUGACCAAGCCCCAGGCAGCACCUCCCUCCUGAGUUUAGUCUCAGAUGCGGCUGUUUUUCCUGACGCCUUGCUUGUGAGGGACUGUGGCUUUGACCUGUUCUGCCCGUCUGCAGGAGGGUCUCGCCGAGCAAUGGCGGGGUGCCAGCAACGCUUGCUGGACCCUGCUGCUGCCGAUGCCCAGAGAGUGAGGCCAGGUGCCAGCCCGCCCCAGAAAAAGUUCGCGAGAUAGUGUAGCAGCAGCGCCUCAGGGACUAUGGAAAAUCACAACACACAUCUGGCACCAGGCUUCUUCACCCUUAACGACCUUGUUCCAGUACCAGCGAAUGUGGUGGUUCUCCCAGGUCCACUGGGGCCUUGCCUUUGGGGGACCCACACAGCUUCUACCAGGUGUUCUCCCGGCAGGGGAACCGCCUCUCUCCGUGUGGCCCGAAGACCUCCGGACCCCACUCUGCUCCCGGGGAUUCGCCCUUCCCACCAGAGCACCACCAGGCGAGGACACCAGGUCUCAGCUGGCAAGGGAGCCUCACCCCAGGAAGCAGCUGUUGGCAAGGCGCGCUCUCCUGCUUGGGUGAAGGGAGAGUGCGUGGCAGCGGAUGUGGGUACUUCCUUGGAGGUCUUAGCACCAGCACCAGUGGAUGGCUGUGGCGUAAACUACCUGAGAUUCCGAGGCAGAAGCUCUGCGGAGGGUCCACACAACUGUAUGUUCACCAGGCUCCUAGGGGAUCUGAUUAUCAGCCGGGUGUGUGGGUACACUGCCCAAGAGAGGUGGUAUUCAACCUUGGUUGCACAUUAAAAUCAUUUGGGGGACUUAAAAAAAUCCCUCUACUCAAGCCCAAGCCACUGAAAUCAGAAUCUGUGGAGGUGAGAGAUUGAUAUCAGUAGUUUAAUAACCUAAUAAGGUAAUUUCAACCAGCAAGCAAUCCUGAGAACCUCUGCUAGGGCUUUCUGACCCUCAUCAAACCCCGCUGAGAAUAAAAAUAUUAUCUGAGCAGUGCACUUCUGAGAGAAUUUACUUUGUAUAAAAGUCAAAACCUUAAAGCAAAGGAAUAAAUCACUAACUGCUGCUGGUAGGAAAGGACUCAAUUUGGGCAGAGUAGCUUUCUCUUUAGCAUCUCUGUCGAAACUUCUGUCAUUUUGCAAAUGUCCUAUCUCUCUUCUGUCCCUGGAUUAAACCUAAAAUGGUCUCUCUGUUUAGAAAUCUGUGUUGGGUUGGGGCACCUGGGUGGCUCAGUCCGUUAAGCAUCUGACUUCGUCUCGGGUCAUGAUCUCAUGGUUCAUGAGUUUGAGCCCCACUAUGGGUGAGCUUCUCUCUCUCCCUCUCUCUCCCUCUCUGUCUUGCCCUCGCUCACUUGCUCCCUCUCUCUCAAAGGAGAAGAGAAGAGAAGAAAAGAAAAGAAAAGAAAGAAAAGAGAAAAGAAAAGAAGUCUCUGUGUUGGGUGAAAUGACUUCAGCAGAAUCUGUUCUCAUGUGUGGCCUCCCCUAAAUGUGUUCUGCAGGCAAACAUUAGGGGAAGGGGAAGGAUGCUGGGGGGCUAGUUGUCUCAAGGCAACCAUACUUUCCUUGCUUUUGCAUUGGACUCAAACCUCAGGCCUGGUCAUUCUUCCUCUUCCUCUGUCUGUCUGUCUGUCUGUCUCUUUGUCUCUCUCUCCCUCCUCUUCCAUUUAUUUCCCUGGGGAAUGAGCUGAUGAGCUUGCCCUUCAGUGUUGAAUUCCAGAGAAAGAUAAGCCAGGCAGUUGGGUGUGGAAUGCCAGGAAGGGGCAGUGGCUGGUUCUACCCCCACCCGCUACCUUAAAGCUGGGCUCCUGCCAGGGACAGAGAUUUCUUCCAGAGUCCUGGUCUUCAAUUUCUGCCUCCUGACUGCCAGAGGUGGUAGGAAGUCUUGAAGUGUUAACUCCAACUGGAAGUAGCUUAAUGCUAGGAAUGUGUGCUAUUUUCUCCCGGGACAUUUCCAGGAAUGAAGGAAAACGCAGGACAAGGAAGCCAGAAGAGUGAGUCACCCAGAAUAUAAUCUUCCAUGUUAAA
Long non-coding RNA from Felis catus (domestic cat), 2207 nucleotides. RefSeq lists it as uncharacterized. The transcript has 3 exons. The record is from RefSeq and is a predicted model, not a curated record. NCBI's taxonomy places the organism in Eukaryota, Metazoa, Chordata, Mammalia, Carnivora, Felidae.